RNAcentral lists this ribosomal RNA (428 nucleotides) under uncultured bacterium. RNAcentral describes it as "bacterial SSU rRNA". It matches the Rfam family "Bacterial small subunit ribosomal RNA", at positions 355 to 776 of the family's 1533-position model. The record is from RNAcentral.
UAGGGAAUCUUGCGCAAUGGGCGAAAGCCUGACGCAGCGACGCCGCGUGCGGGAAGAAGGCCUUCGGGUUGUAAACCGCUUUCAGGAGGGACGAAGCCACUCGGGUUAAUACCCCAGAGGGUGACGGUACCUCCAGAAGAAGCCCCGGCUAACUACGUGCCAGCAGCCGCGGUAAUACGUAGGGGGCAAGCGUUGUCCGGAUUUAUUGGGCGUAAAGCGCGUGUAGGCGGCCAGGUAGGUCAGCUGUGAAAACUCGAGGCUCAACCUCGAGAUGUCGGCUGAAACCAUCUGGCUAGAGUCCGGAAGAGGAGAAUGGAAUUCCCGGUGUAGCGGUGAAAUGCGCAGAUAUCGGGAAGAACACCCGUGGCGAAGGCGGUUCUCUGGGACGGUACUGACGCUGAGACGCGAAAGCGUGGGGAGCGAACAGG